CUCCGCCGCCAGUCAGUUGGGUUCUGCUUCUUUUGCGUUCCGUUUUUUCUCUUUGCUGAUUAGUUGAUUAUAUACUUAUUUCUUCGCGAUUUCUCUUCUCCACGGAGCAUCUAGAUCGUGGCAUUAGACGAUGAUGAUUUUUUCAACUUACCAUCAAACUCUGAAUCGAUACUGUGUCGAUUACACCCAAGUUUUCGUGAGUCUAAUGCGAUCUCCUCUAUUCGUUUUGUUGUCAUUGUUUUGUUUUUAGAUAGAUUCGAUUUACAGCCUUUUGAAGGCAAUAAAUUAGAGUCUCUGGUGCGCUUCUUAAUAGCGUAAUUCAGCGCUGUACGUUGCCGAGAUGAAUCUUUGGGCUAAGAUUCUGGCACAGACCAUUAUUCGAGAUGGUUUGUGCAUUCAACUUGUCCAUACAUAUCUUCGAUGUUGUCGAUAACAUUCAACUUGUCCAUACAUAUCUUCGAUGUUGUCGAUAAAUGUUUCUGUCUUCGGAUGUCUUCCUGUUCUAGCUUUGUUAUAAUUUUUUCAGAAUGGAGACGCUGGACGCGUUCGGCUUUAUUAAUUCUUUAUUAAAUUAAUAAAGCCCACAACUUAGGCAGCGUACCAAACAUAGUCUUAGACAACAAACACGAGCACGGAGGCUCAAGGCCAACGCCGACGCGGAGUCACGAGCGUUUUAGAACAGGCCAAAAGAAGCACGCAGCGGUGCAGUUACAAGGCCUGAAGCCUGAGCAUAGAGCAUGCAGGCUUGCUCGCGCGCUAGACAAAAGUGCCACUUCAUGGAGUAGAAGUGGCGGAUGGCUCCCUAGCCAAAACGUAGACCUGGCUUUGUUAUUUGAAUAGGUAUCUUGUUCAUUGGCUAUGGAUCUGUUUAUCUGGUAUCUUUAGAUUUCAUUACCUGAAUUAAAAAGCAUAAACAUGGCAAUCUUACUUAAAUUAGGUGUUGACAGAUGCCAAUUCAAAUCCCCUUCGACGCAGUGACUUCGGAUUAAUUACAACGAAUGAUGGCGCAAAAUCCCCUUCGGUGCCAGUGUUUUCACUGUUCUACCCCAACCCUGUCGAUAUGACUUAUUAAUGACUGCCACUUCCAUCUGGUUGAUUCAUCGCCCAAAACAGGUGGUUGUGCUUCUGUUGGGCAAGCGUACCCAUAUAGCAGAAAAACCUGAUGCAUCUAUCUAUUUGAAUGUUAGUGCAAUGUUUUUUGCAAGAUCAGCUUCUUGUCUGGAUGUCGUAACUAUCAGUCCAGUCAAUCGGCAAAUCAUCCUGCCAUCUUGCUAGAUUCAAAACCCAGUCGGCUUUCAACUCACCUGGAUCUGAUUACUCGAUGAUUUUCCGGGCCCUUUCCGUCGGCAUAUGCGAUAGAUUUUUUGUUCAGUUAGUCACUCUGUCCCAAAGCUUUUCCUGUUUUGAGGCAAGUUCUUUGUUUGCGAGAUAGAUAGAUAACCUGUGCUUGAGGUUUAUGUGACCUCAUGGAGUUGUUUUCAGUAUUUUUCUGUCUGAUUUUGUAUCGUCUUGGUGAAGAUCUCUAGACCAGGAAGUGCCGUAUGACACUGUAAACAGCAGCUGCUUCUCUGCCGCUCCACAAGCCUUGACUGGAGAUGCUACAUUGUGCCAACAGUGAGUUUUUGGACAUCUCACAUUUCAUAGGAACAUGUGGCUGUGAUUCAGUUGGUACACAGAUCCGUUUUUUGUGAUUACACUUCUUGCUUGGCAUACUUAAUCAUGACACUGUUGUAUUUGUUGUAGUUACGUGAUUGAAAAUAGGUGAAAUGAAUGGCUGUGAUGAUAGAACUAAGGCUUGUUUCUCAAAACAUUCACAGAUGCCGCCUAAGAGCUUUUGCCUUGCCAGGCUUGAGAACGGGAUGUUCUGUGCAUCCCUCUUCUGUUGAAUGGUGUACUUUUGACUGUUGUUCCUCUUUGGAACAUAGGCUUCUGAAACUUAAGAAACGUUCCAAGAAUUGUGAAAAUUUAACAGAGCUGAAUUUUAGUUGAUGCUGCUAAUUGCUUGGAUCUCUCAGCCAUACCCAGCUGGACUGUUCCUGAAAUCUGUUCCCGAAAAGAUUCAGACGACCAGAAGCUAUUCUUUUGUAAAAUGGAACUAUUCAGAGAACUCAGUGAGAUGCGAUGGCGAUGAUAAACAAAUUUACACAUGUUCUUUUUCAAUUUUAGAAAUAAUUCAACGUCUGAGUCGGGAAUCAUUGGACGCCAUGUGAGCAUCUUUUUUUAAGAAUGAUCUAUCUUAAGUUGACAUGAGGUUGUAGUGUUUGUGUUGUUUAAUAAUUCUGCACUUCUUUUUAUUGUGAAAUUUUACACGUUAAUUUGUAGUAUUGCUUUUGUUAUAUUUGUAAAUUUCGUAUGUUCCUAUCAAAUGUUCCGGUAAAUAUGUGAAACGUAGUAUUACCUCUCAUCCAAAUUACUUUGCUUCUUUAGUUUAUAUUACUUGCUUCUUAUUACUUCCUCUGUUCCUAAAUAUAAGUCCUUUUAGUAUUUCAAAACAAAGUACAUAUGGAUGUAUAUAGACAUGACCUAUAUUAUGAGAAACAACAUGCACUACCAUCUGAUCUCACCUCGGAUUGAUCUCCCCUCGGAUUCUUCUCCCCACCUUGCUUCGUUUUGUAAUUAUUUUUCUUUCUUUCUCUUUUAUUUAAGGCAUUUUUCCGGGGUUGAAGUGAGAAUAAAUCAAUCCAUAACCAAAUCUCUGCAUCUACAGAUGAUGAGAAACAACAUGCACUACCAUCUGAUCUCACCCAUCUGCUUCCUUCCUCUUUGUCUUUUUGGUUUUUCUUUGAUUUCUUGUUCGAUUUGUUGCAAUCGGUGAUGUAAUUGUUUAAUUAUGCUGAGUUCCUCUGUGAUUAUCUCAACUACAAUCACCAUCUUUCGACUGAGAUUGCACUUAAUUUCUUCUCUGAUCUAGUUUUGGAAAAUCCCCUAUCUUUCUUUGAUUUGCUUAUAUAGGAUCUGUGUUUUGAUUUGUACGUUACGGAUGUCAGGAGGUAUCUGAUGCUUGUUCUCUUUAGCGAGAAGGAAACGGGUUUUUGUGACACUUGCUGCUCCCAUACCAGGAGCUUCCUGUUACUAUACCCCCGCUUACAUUCACUCAUUUUCUGAAUUUGUUUGUUGUUUGUUCUCGGUGAUGAUCAACACUGAUUAUAUGUCCGAUACAAUCCAUUCCUUAAACCAUGGGGACAAUACGAGGCAUUUGUCUGAGAGAACACCCUUCUUUAUCCCCUUUUCUGUCAUCAAGCUGCUUUUUUUUAUUCCCCUGUAUGUCGUAUGUCUUGGUUCUCUGUGAUGAAAACAGAUGACGAGUCUGAUGUAAUCCAUUCUAUUAAACCGUGUGGACAAUCGAGGCAUUUGUCUGAGGGAACAUUAGCUUAGUCAAAUCCUUUGCUUGGGUUUCUUUUUUCAAGUUAUUUUGUUGAGAUUGUGUUGCUGGCAUGAUGAGGAAUGUAAAUGUUGUCCUAUCUAUUUGAUGAUAAAAUCCUCCUACUCAUUCUGAAUGUGAGUAAGAAACUCAUCAUACGAUUGUUCUUUCUUUGUUUCACCUUGUGCCUGAGGUUUCUUGCAGAUAAUGUUUGAUGUGUGACAUUUGGACUAAGCAAGAUCUGAAAUCCUGAAAGAUUGGACAUAGUGCAGCUGUAUGAUUAGCAGAAGAGCAGUCGAAGACUCGACCAAAACUGUUUUGAUAAACCUGCUGUGCAAGGUUAUGAGCCACACCAUUGUUGUUGCGGGAAAUAUGAGAAAUAAUCUUAAGAAUUUCAGCUAA
Long non-coding RNA from Triticum aestivum (bread wheat), 3763 nucleotides. RefSeq lists it as uncharacterized. The record is from RefSeq and is a predicted model, not a curated record. Lineage: Eukaryota; Viridiplantae; Streptophyta; Magnoliopsida; Poales; Poaceae. The transcript is spliced from 2 exons.